This 833-nucleotide ribosomal RNA is filed under the name uncultured bacterium. RNAcentral describes it as "bacterial SSU rRNA". It matches the Rfam family "Bacterial small subunit ribosomal RNA", at positions 8 to 889 of the family's 1533-position model. The record is from RNAcentral.
AGGGUUUGAUCAUGGCUCAGAACGUACGCUGGCGGCACGCCUUAUACAUGCAAGUCGAACGAAGUAGCAAUACUUAGUGGCAGACGGGUGAGUAACAUGUAGGUAUCUUCCCUUUGGUGAGGAAUAACACGAGGAAACUUGUGCUAAUACCUCAUAAGUCUUUACGGAGAAAGCUUUAUGCGCCAAUGGAUGAGCCUGCACUUGAUUAGUUUGUUGGUGGGGUAAUGGCCUACCAAGACUUUGAUCAAUAGCUGAUCUGAGAGGAUGAUCAGCCACAUUGGGACUGAGACACGGCCCAAACUCCUACGGGAGGCAGCAGUAGGGAAUAUUGCACAAUGGAAGAAACUCUGAUGCAGCGAUGCCGCGUGAGUGAAGAAGGCCUUUGGGUUGUAAAGCUCUUUCGUCGGGGAAGAAAAUGACUGUACCCGAAUAAGAAGGUCCGGCUAACUUCGUGCCAGCAGCCGCGGUAAUACGAAGGGACCUAGCGUAGUUCGGAAUUACUGGGCUUAAAGAGUUCGUAGGUGGUUAAAAAAGUUGGUUGUGAAAUCCCGAAGCUUAACUUCGGAACUGCAAUCAAAACUUUUUAGCUAGAGUAUGAUAGAGGAAAGCAGAAUUUCUAGUGUAGAGGUGAAAUUCGUAGAUAUUAGAAAGAAUACCAAUUGCGAAGGCAGCUUUCUGGAUCAUUACUGACGCUGAGGAACGAAAGCAUGGGUAGCGAAGAGGAUUAGAUACCCUCGUAGUCCAUGCCGUAAACGAUGUGUGUUAGACGUUGGAAAUUAAUUUUCAGUGUCGCAGCGAAAGCAGUAAACACACCGCCUGGGGAGUACGACCGC